CAGCAUAUCCAGGAAUUGGUAAAAGAGCAAUUGGCUUUGGGCCAUAUUGAGCCCUCUAAUAGUCCAUGGAAUACCCCAAUCUUUUUAUCCAGAAAAAAGGCAAAAGGCAAGUAGAGAUUACUUCAGGACUUGCGAGCCAUAAAUGAAACUAUGCAAAAGAUGGGCACCACUCAUCCCAGGCUUCCAUUAACCCAAUGUGUUCCAAAAGGCUACAAAAUUCGUAUAGCAGACAUAAAGGAUUGUUUCUUCUCCAUUCCACUGCAUCCAGCUGAUAGAAAACGUUUUGCAUUUAC
Molecule: small RNA, 293 nt
Filed under: Marmota monax (woodchuck)
Lineage: Eukaryota; Metazoa; Chordata; Mammalia; Rodentia; Sciuridae
Source: RNAcentral